GAUGAAGAACGUAGCGAAAUGCGAUAAGUAAUGUGAAUUGCAGAAUUCAGUGAAUCAUCGAAUCUUUGAACGCACAUUGCGCCCGUCAGUAUUCUGGCGGGCAUGCCUGUUCGAGCGUCAUUACGCCCCUCAAGUCCCCUGUGGACUUGGUGUUGGGGAUCGGCGAGGCUGGUUUUCCAGCACAGCCGUCCCUUAAAUUAAUUGGCGGUCUCGCCGUGGCCCUCCUCUGCGCAGUAGUAAAACACUCGCACCAGGAGCCCGGCGCGGGCCACUGCCGUAAAACCCCCCAACUUUUUAUAGUUGACCUCGAAUCAGGUAGGACUACCCGCUGAACUUAAGCAUAUCAAUAAGCGGAGGA
Molecule: unclassified non-coding RNA, 358 nt
Filed under: soil metagenome
Description: partial contains 5.8S ribosomal RNA, internal transcribed spacer 2, and large subunit ribosomal RNA
Rfam family: 5.8S ribosomal RNA (bases 1-120)
Source: RNAcentral